This 253-nucleotide ribosomal RNA is filed under the name uncultured bacterium. RNAcentral's name for it is "partial 16S ribosomal RNA". It matches the Rfam family "Bacterial small subunit ribosomal RNA", at positions 524 to 776 of the family's 1533-position model. The record is from RNAcentral.
UACAGAGGGUGCAAGCGUUAAUCGGAAUUACUGGGCGUAAAGCGCACGCAGGCGGUUGGUUAAGUCAGAUGUGAAAGCCCCGGGCUCAACCUGGGAAUUGCAUUUGAAACUGGCCAACUAGAGUACGUGAGAGGGGGGUAGAAUUCCAAGUGUAGCGGUGAAAUGCGUAGAGAUUUGGAGGAAUACCAGUGGCGAAGGCGGCCCCCUGGCACGAUACUGACGCUCAGGUGCGAAAGCAUGGGGAGCAAACAGG